This 774-nucleotide ribosomal RNA is filed under the name uncultured Neocallimastigales. Its description in RNAcentral is "partial large subunit ribosomal RNA". It matches the Rfam family "Eukaryotic large subunit ribosomal RNA", at positions 23 to 645 of the family's 3401-position model. Lineage: Eukaryota; Fungi; Neocallimastigomycota; Neocallimastigomycetes; Neocallimastigales. The record is from RNAcentral.
AGAGAGAGACAUGCGCGCAUAUCAAUAAGCGGAGGAAAAGAAACUAACAAGGAUUCCCUUAGUAACGGCGAGUGAAGCGGGAAGAGCUCAAAUUUGAAAUCUUCAAGGUUUUACCUUGACGAAUUGUAGUUUAAAGAAGUGUUUUCUGCUGAAGUUUUGGUAAAAGUUCUUUGGAAUAGGACAUCAUAGAGGGUGGGAAUCCCGUAUUUGACCAUUAUUUUCAGCUUUGUGAUACACUUUCAAAGAGUCGGAUUGUUUGGGAAUGCAGUCCAAAAUGGGUGGUAAAUUUCAUCUAAAGCUAAAUAUUGGCGAGAGACCGAUAGCGAACAAGUACCGUGAGGGAAAGAUGAAAAGAACUUUGAAAAGAGAGUUAAACAGUACGUGAAAUUGUCAAAAGGGAAGCGUUUGACACCAGUGUUGUUUUCUCGAAAAUCAAUUAAAAAUGGCUCGAUUUUGUAUUGCUGAGACCUUAAAAGCUCACUGUACAUUUUUCGUGUCUUUUUUAAUGCACUUUUCGUUUAACAAGUCAACAUCAGUUUCUUUUGUUGUAAAAGGGGUCAUUGGAAGGUGGCUUUCUUUUCGGAGAAAGUGUUUAUAGCCUUUGGCCUCUGCAAUCGGAAGAGACUGGUCUGCAGCGUAGACUCUUCGGGGUUAGAUACAUUUGUGCUAAGUUAUAGCUUUUUAUAGGCAACUUGUUGACUGUAAUUAGUCUUGUAGCUUACUCGCUUAUGCUAUUUUACCUACGCUUAGGAUGUUGAAGUCAUCGUAUCGCGC